GACGGAGGGUGCAAGCGUUGUUCGGAAUCACUGGGCGUAAAGCGCGUGUAGGAGGUUUGAUAAGUCGAAUGUGAAAGCCCGAGGCUCAACCUCGGAAGUGCAUUUGAAACUGUCAGGCUUGAGUAAGGGAGAGAGAAGUGGAAUUCCUGGUGUAGAGGUGAAAUUCGUAGAUAUCAGGAGGAACACCGGUGGCGAAGGCGGCUUCCUGGACCGAUACUGACGCUGAGACGCGAAAGCGUGGGGAGCAAACAGG
Molecule: ribosomal RNA, 253 nt
Filed under: uncultured bacterium
Lineage: Bacteria
Description: partial 16S ribosomal RNA
Rfam family: Bacterial small subunit ribosomal RNA
Source: RNAcentral